GAAAAACCAACAUAUUUCAUGAAAUUAGAUGCAGGUGUUAACAUGUAUCACCACUUCUGUGAUUUCAUCAAUCUUUAUAUUACUCAGCACGUUAAUAACUCAUUCAGUACUGACGUGUACAUCGUGAUGUGGGACACCAGUUCUUACGGAUAUGGUGACCUAUUCUCCGACACAUGGAAUGCAUUUACUGAUUAUGACGUUAUACAUUUGAAAACUUAUGAUUCCAAAAGGGUACUGGAAAUUUUCCUGAAAUGUCUGUGAAUAUUUCUUGAGUGCAGAUGACUCACUCAUAAAAUAAACAUUUAUUAUGAGUUCCUAUUAGCCAUUACCACUGAUUUCUGAAUUUCUGAAUUUCUUUUAUAAUUAGAAUCCUCAGUGUUGUUAAUCAUGCAGCCUUUGAAAACUUUUUUCUAUAAUCUUUCCAAAAAUAUGAAUUCUGUUCUCUUUGAAUGAAAUAGUGUGCUAUUCAAGCAAUGCAAAAUGGAGAUUAAUUAAAAUCUAUUUUUCAAAAUUAUACGUGCUAUUUUUGGUGUGAAGGGUGCAAAUUACAUCUUCUUGUCUUUUAAUGUAUCUUUGUUCUUAGGUAUGUUUUAAAGAAGCUGUUUUUUCAUUACUCCCCCGCAUGAGGUAUGGGCUGUUCUAUAAUACUCCUCUGAUAUCUGGCUGUCAAAAUACUGGACUAUUCAGGGCAUUUGCCCAGCAUGUACUACACAGACUAAACAUCACACAAGAAGGACCUAAGGAUGGAAAAAUUCGAGUCACCAUUCUUGCACGGAGCACAGAAUACCGGAAAAUCCUAAACCAAAAUGAGCUUGUAAAUGCACUGAAAACAGUAUCUACAUUUGAAGUCCAGAUUGUUGAUUACAAGUAUAGAGAACUUGGGUUUUUAGAUCAACUAAGGAUCACACACAACACGGACAUAUUUAUUGGAAUGCAUGGAGCUGGUCUGACCCAUUUACUUUUCCUUCCAGACUGGGCUGCUGUAUUUGAACUGUACAACUGUGAAGAUGAACGCUGUUACUUAGACUUGGCCAGGCUGAGAGGCGUUCACUACAUCACUUGGCGACGGCAGAACAAAGUCUUUCCUCAGGAUAAGGGCCACCAUCCAACCCUGGGGGAGCACCCGAAGUUCACCAACUACUCUUUCGAUGUAGAAGAAUUUAUGUAUCUUGUCCUUCAGGCUGCAGACCACGUAUUGCAACACCCAAAGUGGCCAUUUAAGAAGAAACAUGAUGAGCUAUAAAUAUGCUGAGUCUGUUUGCAAAAAGAGAGUGUUUAAACACUCCAACACCCAGACUUAGAAUUAAAUCAGUAAAGCAAUCUGUUAUUUCCUAUCCCCGAAUUACCUUUUCUAUGCCAAAACAUACCUUCAGGAUAUUGUUAUGUGUUUUAUAGAUGUUAAGUGUUUCAUGUGGUUUUUGUGUCAUUGCUAUUUAUCAAUAGCAAUAAUUUUGCACUGAAAACUUUUUAUAGUUCAAAAUUUAAGCAUGGACUCCCCAGUAUACUUUAACUUUCUUUCUUUCUUUUUUUUUUUUGGAGACAGAGUCUCACUGUCACCCAGGCUGGAGUGCAAUGGCAUGAUCUCAGUUUAUGCAACUUCUGCCUCCCAGGUUCAAGCGAUUCUUUUGCCUCAGACACCUGAGUAGCUGGGAUUACAGCCUGCACCACCACGCCUGGCUAAUUUUUUGUUGUUGUUGUUGAGAUACAGUUUCACUCUGUCACCCAGGCUGGAGUGCAGUGGCAUGAUCUCAGCUCACUGCAACCUCUGCCUUCUGGGUUCAAGUGAUUCUUGUGCCUCAGCCUCCCAAGUAGCUGGGAUUACAGGCGUGCACCACCACACCCAGUUAAUUUUUGUAUUUUUGAUAGAGACGGGGUUUCACCAUGUUGGCCAGGCUGGUCUCGAACUCUGGGUUCAAGAAAUCCUCCCACCUUGGCCUCCCAAAGUGCUGGGAUUACAGGUGUGAGCCACCACGCAUGGCCCUGAACUUUCUCUUUUUAGGAAUACCAAAGUUUUCAGCUUUUUCAGCUUUAGAAUUUGUAAAUAUUUUUGUAGAAUAUCAUAUGACUGUAAUUCCAGAGUGUUCCAACUUGUUUAUGAUAUAUUUGGGUAAAUUUACAACUGUUCUUUUAUUUGCCAUAAUCUGGUUAUAACACUGUUUGUGGUAGGAAAGGAAAACAUGCAAAACAUACACACACACACACGCAGAGUUGUGAUUCUCAGUACCAAGCUAUAGGACCAUGUUAUAGAUCAGCGUUUAGUCACCUCCAGGUUAUAUGCAUCAAGAACCUGAAUAAAUCAUGCCACUAUAUUAAUUUAUAUUACAUGUUUCAUAUUUAAAUCAUGUUUUCCUAAAAUGUAGCAACUACAUGUGAUAAAAGCAAAUUAGAACAUUCUGUAGGACGGUUUUGCAUACCUUCUGUCUGGUUUCCACUGAUUCCUUCUUAGCCAUGGAGAGCAUUUGUGAUUAAUUAAUUUAUAUAUGAAAUAAUGGUUUCCAUUUUAUGCGAGUAUUUGUAACUGCAUAUACCAGUGCGUGUGCAUCUACCUCUGUCAGCAUGAAAGUAUUCCAUUCUUUAAUUUCAAAAACUUCAAAUUAGCCUCAUGAAGAGAAUUUUUCCCUGUGAGAAGACCAAGAAAAAACAAACUGAAGACAUGUGACUUAUUCAAUGAAAGUGAAAAAGAAGCUCUAAAAAAGUGUCAUUGAUUAAAAAGAAUAUCUGGAAUGUAGCUCCACUCUUUGAGUGGGAUUCAUUUCUUACUGCUUAUGAACUUUCAAUUUAGUAGUCAGAAACCAUGGAUUUAUUUUACUGCACAAUGUGAAGUUUACAUUUUAUUAACACUUGAGUAGUCUGAUUUAGAGACUAGUUACUUCUAUUUUUUAAAAUAAUGGAGUAGCAAAUUACAGAAUAGCUAAAUAAUUUUUAAAAAAUAUUUUACAGUUGUAAAAAAUAUCCACCAGAAAAAUGACACACAAAACAAAAUAUCUGGACCUUUACAGAAGAUGUUUGCUGACCCCCACUUUAAAGGAUUGGAACAGUCUUCUUCAAUUGAGGAAUAUUUAUUAAAAUACCUGUAAAGAAAAUAGUGAAUCACUGUAGCAAUGGCUUUGAUUCAGACCUUAAAAUCACAUAAGAAGAAUUACAACAUGUUACGGAUUUUUAAGUGGCAGGUAUUGUAACUGUUUUUUUUGUGCAAAAUACUGAGUAACCACUGGGAAAAUAUUUCAGAUGAAAGGGAUGACAAAAGCAUGUUGCACUUUGCAUCAGCAAGGCAUUGACUUCUGAAAAAAUGAUCUGAAAAAAAAGUUUCACCGUUUGUCUUCUUACCUCAUUUUAAGAAGCAUGUGAAAAUGGGAUGCUGUAGACUAGUGAGAAUUUCAGAAAUUGAGAACAAUUUCAUAAUAAAACGGCUAUAUUUGAAGAGAAUGCAUUUUAUAUAAACAGGAAAAUACAUUUGACACUUUAUGGAAUUUUAUGAGACUUUGUGGGAACAGAAGUUCUUCAAAUUGUAAAAUGUAAAGAUUGCUCUUUUUAUUAAGUCUUUAACAGGGAUGUAUUUCAUUGUAUGUUUUGGGUAUGGCUUUGGAAUAAAUCAUUUUAUAUUUU
This 3606-nucleotide small RNA is filed under the name Pan troglodytes (chimpanzee). Its description in RNAcentral is "retained intron". The record is from RNAcentral. Lineage: Eukaryota; Metazoa; Chordata; Mammalia; Primates; Hominidae.